Molecule: ribosomal RNA, 270 nt
Filed under: uncultured prokaryote
Description: partial 16S ribosomal RNA
Rfam family: Bacterial small subunit ribosomal RNA
Source: RNAcentral
UACGUAGGGGCGAGCGUUGUCCGGAAUUAUUGGGCGUAAAGGGCGCGCAGGCGGUCUUCUAAGUCUGAUGUGAAAGCCCACGGCUUAACCGUGGAGGGUCAUUGGAAACUGGAGGACUUGAGUACAGAAGAGGAGAGUGGAAUUCCACGUGGAGCGGUGAAAUGCGUAGAGAUGUGGAGGAACACCAGUGGCGAAGGCGACUCUCUGGUCUGUAACUGACGCUGAGGUGCGAAAGCGUGGGUAGCGAACAGGAUUAGAUACCCGCGUAGU